This is a long non-coding RNA of Gasterosteus aculeatus aculeatus (three-spined stickleback), 953 nucleotides long. The record is from Ensembl. Lineage: Eukaryota; Metazoa; Chordata; Actinopteri; Perciformes; Gasterosteidae.
CAGGGGUGGCUGCACCUUUGGAAAACAUCAUCAAUGUCUGAUGUCACCUUACAUUCUCUGCAUGGAUAUAAAAGCUGCUUCAUGCUCAGUGGAGAACAUUGACCAGCAAACAGAGAACCCUGAACAGGUGAACAGGAGAGCAUAACUACUCCACGGCAGGAAAGAGAAGUCAAGCUCAAACCAUCUCUGGAACAACUUUCCAUUGACGAUGAAGAUCUGUAUUGUCCUACUUCUGUGUGUUGCGUUAGGAAAUGCAGAAACAACAACAGUUGCAAAUGCAGAGACACGAACUACGGCUGCCCCAGCGACAACUACAGCAGCUCUAACAACUACAGCUGUACCCGCAACAACCACAGUACCAGCUGCAACAACUACAGAUGCCCCUGCAACAACUACAGUAGCAACCACAACAACUACAGUCGCAGCUGCAACAACAACAGUACCAGCCGCAACAACUACAGCCAACCCAACAACAACUACAGUACCAGCUCCAGCAACUACAGUAGCAGCGGCAACAACUACAGUACCAGCUGCAACAACUACAGCUGCACCCGCAACAACUACAGUCACAGCCGUUACAACUACAGUAGCAGCGGAAACAACCAAAGCCAACCCAACAACAGCAGCAGCAACCACCACAAAUACCCCAGCCACAACUACUGCAGCUCUAACAACUACAGCUGCACCUGCAACAACAACAGUACCAGCUGCAACAACUACAGUACCAGCUGCAACAACCACGGUAGCAGCCGCAACAACUACAGCCAACCCAACAACAACUACAGUACCAGCUGCAACAACUACAGUAGCAGCGGCAACAACUACAGUAGCAGCUGCAACAACUACAGCUGCACCCGCAACAACUACAGUAGCAACCACUACAACUACAGACGCAGCCGGAACAACUACAGUAGCAGCGAAAACAACCAAAGCCAACAACAACAGCAGCAGCA